This 287-nucleotide ribosomal RNA is filed under the name uncultured bacterium. Its description in RNAcentral is "partial 16S ribosomal RNA". It matches the Rfam family "Bacterial small subunit ribosomal RNA", at positions 30 to 334 of the family's 1533-position model. The record is from RNAcentral.
AUUGAACGCUGGCGGCAUGGCUAAAACAUGCAAGUCGAACGAGAAGCCACUUCGGUGGUGGACAGUGGCGAAAGGGCGAGGAAUAUAUACCUUACGUGCCUUCGGGUGCGGGAUAGCUCGGGGAAACCCGUGGUAAUACCGCAUGAUCCGGCAACGGCAAAGAUUUAUCGCCCGAAGAUCGGGGUAUAUCCUAUCAGGUUGUUGGUGAGGUAAAGGCUCACCAAGCCUAAGACGGGUAGCGGGUGUGAGAGCACGGCCCGCCGCAUCGGGACUGAGACACUGCCCGG